RNAcentral lists this ribosomal RNA (460 nucleotides) under uncultured bacterium. Its description in RNAcentral is "partial 16S ribosomal RNA". It matches the Rfam family "Bacterial small subunit ribosomal RNA", at positions 338 to 795 of the family's 1533-position model. The record is from RNAcentral.
CCUACGGGAGGCAGCAGUGAGGAAUAUUGGUCAAUGGGCGAAAGCCUGAACCAGCCAAGUCGCGUGAAGGAUGACGGCCCUACGGGUUGUAAACUUCUUUUGUCCGGGAGCAACUCGGUCUACGUGUGGGCCUAGCGAUAGUACCUGAAGAAAAAGCAUCGGCUAACUCCUUCCCAGCAGCCGCGGUAAUACGCAGGAUGCGAGCUUUAUCCGGAUUUAUUGGGUUUAAAGGGUGCGUAGGCGGAAUACCAAGUCAGCGGGAAAAUUUCGGGGCUCAACCCUGCCUUGCCGUUGAAACUGGUGUUCUUGAGUGGGCGAGAAGUAGGCGGAAUGCGUGGUGUAGCGGUGAAAUGCAUAGAUAUCACGAAGAACCCCGAUUGCGAAGGCAGCAUACCGGCGCCCAACUGACGCUGAAGCACGAAAGCGUGGGUAUCGAACAGGAUUAGAUACCCGAGUAGUC